RNAcentral lists this ribosomal RNA (76 nucleotides) under Flavobacterium columnare. RNAcentral describes it as "partial 23S ribosomal RNA". The record is from RNAcentral. Lineage: Bacteria; Pseudomonadati; Bacteroidota; Flavobacteriia; Flavobacteriales; Flavobacteriaceae.
GCUCUCAGAGGCGAAGAAGGACGUGAUAAGCUGCGAAAAGCUGCGGGGAUUGGCACAUACAAUAGAUCCCAGAUUU